Molecule: ribosomal RNA, 425 nt
Filed under: uncultured eukaryote
Lineage: Eukaryota
Description: SSU rRNA
Rfam family: Eukaryotic small subunit ribosomal RNA
Source: RNAcentral
CCAGCAGCCGCGGUAAUUCCAGCUCCAGUAGCGUAUAUAAAAGUUGUUGCAGUUGAAAAGCUCGUAGUUGGAUUUCUGGUUUGGAACAACUGGCCCGCUGCGUUUCGUAGUGAGUGCUGGCUUGAUCUAGCCAUCCUUCCAAGGAACGCACCUGCCCUUCAUUGGGUUGGGUGUGGAACUUGGAUCGUUUACUUUGAAAAAAUUAGAGUGUUCAAAGCAGGCCUACGCCUUGAAUACAUUAGCAUGGAAUAAUAACAUAGGACUUUGGUUCUAUUUUGUUGGUUUCUAGGACUAAAGUAAUGAUUGAUAGGGAUAGUUGGGGGUGCUAGUAUUGUACGGCCAGAGGUGAAAUUCUUGGGUUCGUGCAAGACUAACUAAUGCGAAAGCAUUCACCAAGGAUGUCUUCUUUAAUCAAGAACGAAAGU